AGCGAAUCGGAGGGAGCUUGCUCCCAAAGAUUAGCGGCGGACGGGUGAGUAACACGUGGGCAACCUGCCUGUAAGACUGGGAUAACUUCGGGAAACCGGAGCUAAUACCGGAUAAUCCUUUUCCUCUCAUGAGGAAAAGCUGAAAGACGGUUUCGGCUGUCACUUACAGAUGGGCCCGCGGCGCAUUAGCUAGUUGGUGAGGUAACGGCUCACCAAGGCCACGAUGCGUAGCCAACCUGAGAGGGUGAUCGGCCACACUGGGACUGAGACACGGCCCAGACUCCUACGGGAGGCAGCAGUAGGGAAUCUUCCGCAAUGGACGAAAGUCUGACGGAGCAACGCCGCGUGAGCGAAGAAGGCCUUCGGGUCGUAAAGCUCUGUUGUCAGGGAAGAACAAGUGCCGGAGUAACUGCCGGCACCUUGACGGUACCUGACCAGAAAGCCACGGCUAACUACGUGCCAGCAGCCGCGGUAAUACGUAGGUGGCAAGCGUUGUCCGGAAUUAUUGGGCGUAAAGCGCGCGCAGGCGGUCCUUUAAGUCUGAUGUGAAAGCCCACGGCUCAACCGUGGAGGGUCAUUGGAAACUGGGGGACUUGAGUGCAGAAGAGGAGAGUGGAAUUCCACGUGUAGCGGUGAAAUGCGUAGAGAUGUGGAGGAACACCAGUGGCGAAGGCGACUCUCUGGUCUGUAACUGACGCUGAGGCGCGAAAGCGUGGGGAGCGAACAGGAUUAGAUACCCUGGUAGUCCACGCCGUAAACGAUGAGUGCUAAGUGUUUAGAGGGUUUCCGCCCUUUAGUGCUGCAGCAAACGCAUUAAGCACUCCGCCUGGGGAGUACGGCCGCAAGGCUGAAACUCAAAGGAAUUGACGGGGGCCCGCACAAGCGGUGGAGCAUGUGGUUUAAUUCGAAGCAACGCGAAGAACCUUACCAGGUCUUGACAUCCUCUGACAACCCUAGAGAUAGGGCGUUCCCCUUCGGGGGACAGAGUGACAGGUGGUGCAUGGUUGUCGUCAGCUCGUGUCGUGAGAUGUUGGGUUAAGUCCCGCAACGAGCGCAACCCUUGAUCUUAGUUGCC
This 1075-nucleotide ribosomal RNA is filed under the name Bacillus sp. (in: firmicutes). RNAcentral describes it as "bacterial SSU rRNA". It matches the Rfam family "Bacterial small subunit ribosomal RNA", at positions 65 to 1119 of the family's 1533-position model. Lineage: Bacteria; Bacillati; Bacillota; Bacilli; Caryophanales; Bacillaceae. The record is from RNAcentral.